This 776-nucleotide ribosomal RNA is filed under the name uncultured Neocallimastigales. RNAcentral describes it as "partial large subunit ribosomal RNA". It matches the Rfam family "Eukaryotic large subunit ribosomal RNA", at positions 19 to 646 of the family's 3401-position model. The record is from RNAcentral. Lineage: Eukaryota; Fungi; Neocallimastigomycota; Neocallimastigomycetes; Neocallimastigales.
CGAGCACGCGCGUGUGGCAUAUCAAUAAGCGGAGGAAAAGAAACUAACAAGGAUUCCCUUAGUAACGGCGAGUGAAGCGGGAAGAGCUCAAAUUUGAAAUCUUCAAGGUUCUACCUUGACGAAUUGUAGUUUAUAGAAGUGUUUUCUGUUAGUAGAGUGGCAAAAGUUCUUUGGAAUAGGACAUCAUAGAGGGUGAGAAUCCCGUAUUUGGUCAUUCCUUCUAGCGUUGUGAUACACUUUCAACGAGUCGGAUUGUUUGGGAAUGCAGUCCAAAAUGGGUGGUAAAUUUCAUCUAAAGCUAAAUAUUGGCGAGAGACCGAUAGCGAACAAGUACCGUGAGGGAAAGAUGAAAAGAACUUUGAAAAGAGAGUUAAACAGUACGUGAAAUUGUCAAAAGGGAAGCGUUUGACACCAGUGUUGUUUUUCCGAAAAUCAAUUACGAAUGUUUUGUUUUUGAGGAGUUAUGACUUCAUCGGCUUGCUUCUCUCUUUACGAAACUUUCUUAAUGCACUUUUCGGUUAACAAGUCAACAUCAAUUUCUUUUGUUGUAAAAGGGUAUGAGGAAGGUGGCUUUCUUUUCGGAGAAAGUGUUUAUAGCCUUGUAGCCUCUACAAUCGGAGAGAUUGAGGUCUGCAGCGUAGAUCCUUCGGGGUUAGAUACAGUUUGUGCUAAGUUAUAGCUUUUCAUAGACAACUUGUUGACUAUGUUUAGUCUUGUAGCUUACUCGCUUAUGCUAUUUUACCUACGCUUAGGAUGUUGAUGUGAUACUGCGAGCA